CAAUAGCGUAUAUUAAAGUUGUUGCGGUUAAAAAGCUCGUAGUUGGAUUUCUGCUGAGGACGAUCGGUCCGCCCACUGGGUGAGUAUCUGGCUCGGCCUUGGCAUCUUCUUGGAGAACGUUGCUGCACUUGACUGUGUGGUGCGGUAUCCAGGACUUUUACUUUGAGGAAAUUAGAGUGUUUCAAGCAGGCGCACGCCUUGAAUACAUUAGCAUGGAAUAAUAAGAUAGGACCUUGGUUCUAUUUUGUUGGUUUCUAGAGCUGAGGUAAUGAUUAAUAGGGAUAGUUGGGGGCAUUCGUAUUUAACUGUCAGAGGUGAAAUUCUUGGAUUUAUGAAAGACGAACUACUGCGAAAGCAUUUGCCAAGGAUGUUUUCAUUAA
Molecule: ribosomal RNA, 380 nt
Filed under: uncultured eukaryote
Lineage: Eukaryota
Description: partial 18S ribosomal RNA
Rfam family: Eukaryotic small subunit ribosomal RNA
Source: RNAcentral